UAAGUGGAAGUGGGUGGAGCGUUCGCCGCUCUGCUUAAGAUAUAGUCGGUCCCCUUGGGAAACUAAGGGGGUGAGUACACUGCUCGAAAUUUAAACUUGAGCGCAUCUCGGAUAGCGCUCGUGUUAGAAUUUCGGGACCGUCGAUUGCCUCGCGGUUCGACGGCUCUUAAAACGUUCCGUAGGUGAACCUGCGGAAGGAUCAUUACAGAAAGUAAACGCGGAUCAAACCGCGAACUUUUAAACCUUUGACGAUUGACUCAUGUUGCCUCGGCGGGUUCUCUCGCCAGAGGAUACAUCAAAACUCCUGUUUUAACGGUGUUGUCUGAGCUACAAGCAACGAAUCAAAACUUUCAACAACGGAUCUCUUGGUUCUGGCAUCGAUGAAGAACGCAGCGAAAUGCGAUAAGUAGUGUGAAUUGCAGAAUUCAGUGAAUCAUCGAAUCUUUGAACGCACAUUGCGCCCCUUGGUAUCCCGAGGGGCAUGCCUGUUCGAGCGUCAUUUCACCACUCAAGCCUGGCUUGGUGUUGGGCGACGUCCCCUUCAGGGACGCGCCUCGAAACGCUCGGCGGCGUGGCACCGGCUUUAAGCGUAGCAGAAUCUUUCGCUUCAAAAGUUGGGGCCCCGUCUGCCGGAAGACCUACUCGCAAGGUUGACCUCGGAUCAGGCAGGGAUACCCGCUGAACUUAAGCAUAUCAAUAAGCGGAGGAAAAGAAACCAACAGGGAUUGCCUCAGUAACGGCGAGUGAAGCGGCAACAGCUCAAAUUUGAAAUCUGGCUCUUUCAGGGUCCGAGUUGUAAUUUGUAGAGGAUGCUUCGGCGUGGGCUCCGGUCUAAGUUCCUUGGAACAGGACGUCAUAGAGGGUGAGAAUCCCGUAUGUGAUCGGUUG
This 888-nucleotide unclassified non-coding RNA is filed under the name Cenococcum geophilum. RNAcentral describes it as "partial contains ITS1, 5.8S rRNA and ITS2". The stretch from base 652 to 888 matches the Rfam family "Eukaryotic large subunit ribosomal RNA", at positions 1 to 235 of the family's 3401-position model. The record is from RNAcentral. Lineage: Eukaryota; Fungi; Ascomycota; Dothideomycetes; Gloniales; Gloniaceae.